RNAcentral lists this ribosomal RNA (484 nucleotides) under uncultured bacterium. RNAcentral's name for it is "partial 16S ribosomal RNA". It matches the Rfam family "Bacterial small subunit ribosomal RNA", at positions 29 to 523 of the family's 1533-position model. The record is from RNAcentral.
AGUGAACGCUGGCGGCGUGCUUAACACAUGCAAGUCGAACGAGAACGGAUUAUAGCUUGCUAUAAUUGUCAGCUAAGUGGCGCACGGGUGAGUAAUGUAUAGGUAAUAUGCCUCUUACUAAGGGAUAACAAAUGGAAACGUUUGCUAAUACCUUAUACUCCUUAUUAACAGAAGUUAAUAAGGGAAAGAUUUAUUGGUAAGAGAUUAGCCUGUAUUGUAUCAGUUAGUUGGUGGGGUAAUGGCUUACCAAGACUAUGACACAUAAAUGGUUUGGGAGGAUGAUCGGUCACACUGGAACUGAGACACGGUACAGACUCCUACGGGAGGCAGCAGUGGGGAAUAUUGCACAAUGGACGGAAGUCUGAUGCAGCAACGCCGCGUGGAGGAUGACACAUUUCGGUGCGUAAACUCCUUUUAUAUGAGAAGAUAAUGACGGUAUUAUAUGAAUAAGCACCGGCUAACUCCGUGCCAGCAGCCGCCGUAA